Molecule: ribosomal RNA, 731 nt
Filed under: uncultured bacterium
Lineage: Bacteria
Description: bacterial SSU rRNA
Rfam family: Bacterial small subunit ribosomal RNA
Source: RNAcentral
CUCUUCGGGGAUGAUUAAACCGGCGCACGGGUGAGUAACACGUGAGUGACCUGCCUUUUAGACUGGAACAACUUACCGAAAGGUGAGCUAAUGCCGGAUGAGUUAUAUAAGUGCAUGUUUAUAUAGGAAAAGUUGGGGAGACCUGACGCUGAAAGAUGGACUCGCGUCCCAUUAGCUAGUUGGUAGGGUAAUGGCCUACCAAGGCGACGAUGGGUAGCCGGCCUGAGAGGGUGGCCGGCCACACUGGGACUGAGACACGGCCCAGACUCCUACGGGAGGCAGCAGUGGGGAAUUUUGCGCAAUGCUCGUAAGAGUGACGCAGCGACGCCGCGUGAAUGACGAAGGCCUUCGGGUCGUAAAGUUCUUUCGACAGGGAAGAAAAUGCCUAUAAGUAACUGUGUAUGUAUUGACGGUACCUGUAUAAGCAGCCCCGGCUAACUCCGUGCCAGCAGCCGCGGUAAUACGGAGGGGGCGAGCGUUGUUCGGAGUGACUGGGCGUAAAGAGCACGUAGGCGGUGUUGUAAGUCAUUAGUCAAAGACUAGAGCUCAACUUUAGUAAGGCUAGUGAUACUAUAAUACUAGAGUAUCAGAGAGGAUUGCAGAAUUCCUGGUGUAGCGGUGAAAUGCGUAGAUAUCAGGAGGAAUACCGUUAGCGAAGGCGGCAAUCUGGCUGGAAACUGACGCUGAGGUGCGAAAGCGUGGGUAGCAAACAGGAUUAGAUACCCUGGUAG